UAUCACUAAAUGUUAGGUAUACUAAUUAUCCUGAGAAUGAUUUUUUAAUAGAUAGAAAUAUAUGCGUGUGCGCGUGUGUGUGUUGUUACGUCACGUUUUCCAGGUUUAUAAAUACGAUCACGGUCUAGGAGAAGAUCAAAACGAUUACGUAUUUCACGAUCUCAACAACUUCGAGCAAUUUGUUCAUAAUUUUAUUGCAAAACAAAAGAAAAAUAAUCCAAAUUUCUAAUCGUCUUACAAUCAGUUAACAUAAUAAAUAAAAACAAAAGAAAACACACAAGUGGAUAAUAUCGUCAAAAAUCGAAUUGUAAUAAGAAA
Molecule: long non-coding RNA, 318 nt
Filed under: Polistes fuscatus (common paper wasp)
Lineage: Eukaryota; Metazoa; Arthropoda; Insecta; Hymenoptera; Vespidae
Description: uncharacterized LOC122515689
Source: RNAcentral